Molecule: long non-coding RNA, 2326 nt
Organism: Camelus dromedarius (Arabian camel)
Lineage: Eukaryota; Metazoa; Chordata; Mammalia; Artiodactyla; Camelidae
Exons: 6
Source: RefSeq, a predicted model, not a curated record
CUGGUCGCCGGGACUGCAGCUGUGGGCGACCCGGUCUCCUGACGCACCCGCGGGUUUUGACACGGUCUCUGCAUCUUUUGCGUCUGUGCGCACGUGCAGCGUUACCUGCACACGCAGCGUUACCUACACACGCUGCUUAAGCCCUGGCCGGUUCGUCCUUCCUCUCGCCGUCCUCUCAGCCGGCUCUCCGCUUUCCCUGGCAAGCAUUUCUGGGCAUGGUUCACGCCUCUUGCAUUUUUUUGGUGUGUGUUUUCUCUGAACUAAAAACGAAACAAACUCCUGUUAUCUCGAGUGGUUUCUGUAGCGGCGCUGGACCGGAACACCCCAGCCGCUUUCUCUCGGUGAGGGAGGUGAGCGGGUUAGUCAGACCAUUUCUCACACGCGGAAACUGAGGCCUGCGGGGAGGCGGCCCCCGACAGAGAUGAGGAAAGUCAAAAAGACGCGGAUGAGGCCCAGGAAGUUUUGUGCAGAGAUUUCAAGGAGAAGGGAAGGCGGAGUGCUUACCCUGGGAGAGGAACGGCAGCGACAGAGCACGUCUCAGGAAAGGCAGGAGGCUGGAGUCCUGGUGGGGGUGUGUUAAAGUGUGUGAACAAGUUUGAGGAAUGGUACUGGAAACCAGGCUGCCACCACUUCAAGACCGAAGCCACUGUCAUGCUGCGGAGGGGGUAGAGUAAUGAAACAGGAAGUUGUGUUUGGCUGAGGACAAGCUCUUCCAGUGCCCCUGGGACUUACAAGAUGUUUGGAAUGAGGAACGGACCAAGGACUAAGCUCCCUCUACACCAGACCAUAUGGAGGACGGGCCGGGGGCUUCCUCUGAGCUUGGAAGAGCUGAGCUCUGUGUAAAAUGUUUGGAGUCUGGAUCUUGACAAUAGCUCAGAGGAGAAGGCAGCCUGGAGGGGUGUGAAGGCUGCGUCCUUGCUGCCAAACCUGGGCUCUUGGCCCAAACAAGACUGCGGACACAUGCAGCUCCUGGUACUGAUGUAAACUCCGCUUGGCCACGUUCAUCCCAGAGCUGAAAUCCAUGUGGAAAAAUCUGCCCCACCCGCCCUUUCCAGAAUCUGACCAGAUGGGCGCCUCGCUCCAGCUCUUAGAGUUGAUCAGUCCCUGGUGUUUGGCUAACGUGGCUCUCAGCAGGGAUCUGGGCGACACGGCGGCCUUGGGUGUGCCAAGCCCCGUGAGCUGGGGUGUUUGGGGUGCUGGGGUGCUGGUGGGGACAGUGUUUCAGCUUUGCUGUAGGCCCAGGGCUUUAUGUUGGAUGGAGAAACCUUAGUUCUUCUUCUCUCCUGGGGUAAAAGCAUUUGGGUUUCACAGGCUGGGAAGAAAGCGAAGAGGACUGAGGAAGCCCGUAACUGGCUGUCUGCUGUUCCCGCCUCACGCCCAGCUGGGGCCAGCCGCUUGGUCUGGGGCAGCUGUGAGAGCACCCCGGGGCCCAUGUGUCUCGUGCCUAAGAGCCCCAGUGUCUGACUCUCCCACACCCCAUGCUGCUUUCUUCUGUGUCUGUUGAGUUUAAAUUUGAAAAGACUCCCGAGUUGUCUCCUGUGGACUGAUGCUGUUCUCUGAGCCGGACGCGGGUGAGGGAGGCAGCAAGGAGUGCAGUGCGGCCGCCUGACCUGACGCAGCCCUGCCCUCCCUCUCUGGGGGGGUCUCCCUCUCCAGUGGAGUCGCUCUUUCUGGGGGGGUGGUGUGCAGGGGCGGGGAAAGUAGCCCAGGAGUGGAGAAACCUAGGUUCUCUUCUGGCUGACAUCACCUAUCGCUGUGACCUGAGAGGAGUUACAUGACGUCUUUAUGCCUUAGUUUCUUCAUCUGUAAAUGGGGGAUAAGGGUCUUGGCCUUGAUAGACUGUUUUUAGGAAUCAACCAAGGCCACAGAAGUGAAAACCUGUAAAUAAAUACCAGGGGCUUUAUGAACGUGUGGCUUUAAGGUGUGGAAAGGCAUCUGGAGUGCUCAGAUUCAUGAAGCCCUGAGGCUGCCAGGGUCCCCCUGCCUCCCCCUCUUCCCUAAGAGUCACCUGCAGGAAGGACAGGACUCCCCUGGUGUGGGGUGAAAGGUCCUUCCCAAAACAGGCCUGGAGUUGCUGCUUUCUGGCAAAGAUCUUGGAGACUCAGUGCAGCCCCAUUGCUGAUUGACUCAGAGAUGAUACAUCCCUGCCCAUGUGGCCUCUGGCCGCCCUGUGAGCCGCCCUCUCUGUGGGCCAGACCCUGAGCCAAGUGUUCUGCCCAUCUCGUGACUCCUUACGAUGUCUCUGAGAUGGAGAGGAUGCUGGUGUUUUAUAAAGAAACUGAAGCUCAGUACUCCACGGGUCUGGAGUAGCAGCUACAAUUCAACU